This 889-nucleotide long non-coding RNA is filed under the name Brachypodium distachyon (stiff brome). Its description in RNAcentral is "long non-coding RNA (BDIS_LNC001594)". The record is from RNAcentral. Lineage: Eukaryota; Viridiplantae; Streptophyta; Magnoliopsida; Poales; Poaceae.
GCUCCAGCUAGUGUAUAAAACGGUCAAAAACUAAGAAACUCCACGUACAUCAUCGCAUCAGGCGACAUGGCAGAACUGCACAUUUGUUACUUUUUUUUUUCUUUUUGAGAGGUGCACAUUUGUUUUUUUUUUGCGGGAAAGAGAGUUGCACAUUUGUUACUCUGUAUUUGUGCUCGAGUCUCGCGUGGCAUUGCGAAUUGCGGUAACAACUGGAGACGCAAUACGAGCCUUUUGGGCUCUCGGCAGAUCGCUGAGCCUCCAGGAGUGUUGGCCCAGCCAUGUUUCACAGGUAUCUCAGCGACGGCCCAGGCCAACCUGGGUGUUGCUCGAUCUCCGGCUGUUAUAACGGGUCGUAGUUACUGUUACGGAGGUCAACCUGGGCGCUGUGCAUGGCAAAAAAGAAGAAGCUCGAGAUCAUAUCGAGGAGGUUGACUGACCCCGUGACCCGGUGAAACAGCGAUGGACAAGGACACCAUAUGGAAACUGUACACUUUGCAAUCGCCCAACUAGAUAUCAUCCGGAAAAUGCACAGUGCCUGUGUUACUAGAUGUGUGGCCCUGGACCGGUUAAACUAUGCGUGCGAUCAUAUUUCCCAGCUAGGCAUCUUAAUUACAGAUGGUACGGACCGACUGCUGAUCGAGCUACUCCCCCUUUCCAAAUGAUAACUCAUAUAGCCUUUUCUCAUUUGUUUCAAAACACAUCUCAUUUUUUUCUUGAUACCAGCACCCGGCCAAUAACUACUCAUAUACAUUUAUUAUUAAUUCAAUAUGAGUGGUCAGGCACUAGAAACGAGAGCUGCCUUGGUCCAAGUACACAAAUCUAUAUGAGUUGUGUUUUUGAACAAAGAAAGUAGCAUGUUUUCUCAUUAGCAUGGAGCAUACAACGGUAC